GACGAACGCUGGCGGCGUGCUUAACACAUGCAAGUCGAACGGAAAGGCCCUGCUUUUGUGGGGUGCUCGAGUGGCGAACGGGUGAGUAACACGUGAGUAACCUGCCCUUGACUUUGGGAUAACUUCAGGAAACAGGGGCUAAUACCGGAUAGGAGCUCCUGCUGCAUGGUGGGGGUUGGAAAGUUUCGGCGGUUGGGGAUGGACUCGCGGCUUAUCAGCUUGUUGGUGGGGUAGUGGCUUACCAAGGCUUUGACGGGUAGCCGGCCUGAGAGGGUGACUGGCCACAUUGGGACUGAGAUACGGCCCAGACUCCUACGGGAGGCAGCAGUGGGGAAUAUUGCACAAUGGGCGGAGGCCUGAUGCAGCAACGCCACGUGCGGGAUGACGGCCUUCGGGUUGUAAACCGCUUUCGCCUGUGACGAAGCGUGAGUGACGGUAAUGGGUAAAGAAGCACCGGCUAACUACGUG
This 468-nucleotide ribosomal RNA is filed under the name uncultured bacterium. RNAcentral describes it as "partial 16S ribosomal RNA". It matches the Rfam family "Bacterial small subunit ribosomal RNA", at positions 28 to 507 of the family's 1533-position model. The record is from RNAcentral.